GAUGAACGCUGUCGGCGUGCCUAAUACAUGCGAGUCGAGCGAACGGACGAGAAGCUUGCUUCUCUGAUGUUAGCGGCGGACGGGUGAGUAACACGUGGAUAACCUACCUAUAAGACUGGGAUAACUUCGGGAAACCGGAGCUAAUACCGGAUGAUAUUUUGAACCGCAUGGUUCAAAAGUGAAAGACGGUCUUGCUGUCUCUUAUAGAUGGAUCCGCGCUGCAUUAGCUAGUUGGUAAGGUAACGGCUUACCAAGGCAACGAUGCAUAGCCGACCUGAGAGGGUGAUCGGCCACACUGGAACUGAGACACGGUCCAGACUCCUACGGGAGGCAGCAGUAGGGAAUCUUCCGCAAUGGGCGAAAGCCUGACGGAGCAACGCCGCGUGAGUGAUGAAGGUCUUCGGAUCGUAAAACUCUGUUAUUAGGGAAGAACAUAUGUGUAAGUAACUGUGCACAUCUUGACGGUACCUAAUCAGAAAGCCACGGCUAACUACGUG
This 497-nucleotide ribosomal RNA is filed under the name uncultured bacterium. RNAcentral's name for it is "partial 16S ribosomal RNA". It matches the Rfam family "Bacterial small subunit ribosomal RNA", at positions 28 to 507 of the family's 1533-position model. The record is from RNAcentral.